UAUUUAGGUAGCGCCUCGUGAACUCAUCUCCGGGGGUAGAGCACUGUUUCGGCUAGGGGGCCAUCCCGGCUUACCAACCCGAUGCAAACUGCGAAUACCGGAGAAUGUUAUCACGGGAGACACACGGCGGGUGCUAACGUCCGUCGUGAAGAGGGAAACAACCCAGACCGCCAGCUAAGGUCCCAAAGUCAUGGUUAAGUGGGAAACGAUGUGGGAAGGCCCAGACAGCCAGGAUGUUGGCUUAGAAGCAGCCAUCAUUUAAAGAAAGCGUAAUAGCUCACUGGUCGAGUCGGCCUGCGCGGAAGAUGUAACGGGGCUAAACCAUG
Molecule: ribosomal RNA, 326 nt
Filed under: Salmonella enterica
Lineage: Bacteria; Pseudomonadati; Pseudomonadota; Gammaproteobacteria; Enterobacterales; Enterobacteriaceae
Also listed under: 2 other names
Description: partial 23S ribosomal RNA
Rfam family: Bacterial large subunit ribosomal RNA
Source: RNAcentral